Molecule: long non-coding RNA, 1134 nt
Organism: Arvicola amphibius (Eurasian water vole)
Lineage: Eukaryota; Metazoa; Chordata; Mammalia; Rodentia; Cricetidae
Exons: 4
Source: RefSeq, a predicted model, not a curated record
AUUCACUUAUCAGAAGCGCUAUUUGUGCUCUUGCAGUUCCUGGCCCUAAAGCACCUGGUGGCUUCCAUGAUGCUCCUGCCUUCUUCCACCCCCAGAACACACACACCUGCCAUCUAACCUCUCACUACAGGGGAAAAACUGAGAACCAACAUGCUUGGUCCAAUGUUUGCCAUGGGCAAUACAUGAAGACUACAUCCAUCAAGUGCUCAGAACAUAGAAGUUUUGUGCUGGCUCUGGAACUUUCCUACAAACAGCUGGAAGGGGGCAGUGCUCAGGAGCUCUGGAGAUGCCAAAGAGCACAUGGAGGCCGACCACGACUGACAACAAGCCACGACAGGGAACAGCCACACCUGUAAAGACUGUAUUCUAGUGAACCUAUGGAAAGAGCAUCACCUCCAUGACAGCUGAAAAUAAUUUUAGAAGACAAUGGCCCCUUCUCCCAACAAAGUUUGUCCUCAGGAUUAAGGACAUCAUUUAGGAAUUGAUUAUUACUGGUAUACGGUUUGGGGUUGGAGUGAAAAUUAUGUAGGCUCAGAGAUCUCUUUGAAAAAAAGGGAGAAUUGAAUGGGAUAACAGGUAGAUUCGUAUGUAAUAAUAAUAAUAGUAACAGAGUGAAUAUUUGUGAGCUAUUAUUUAUAGACAAUUUACGUUAAUAUAAAUUCUUGUAUAUUGCUACAAAUUCAAAUUAUAUCUGUUAUAUUGAAUAUGUUCCUAUUUCUAUUUACAAUAUUUGUACACCUAUGCAAAGUUAUUUUGUCAGUUUGUAUGCAUGCUUGUUUCUACCUCUAUUUAAGACAGUUUGUAUAUUGGUACAAUUUUAGUAUAUAUUUAGCAUACUGUAUUAUACAUUUCUACCUCUGAUCAAGAUACUUAGACAUUGUUUACAUUUUCAGGCCAUUGUCCUUGUUUGCUGCACAGUUGUUUAAAGAUUGUUUAAUAUUCCAAUAUGAAGUCUUAGUCUUUAAGUAUUAUAGGUUAAUAGUCAUUCAUGUUUAUAAUAUUUAUGGUUAGAAUAAUCAGAUUCUUUAGAUACAUAAAGCUUGUAUUUUGCCUAGAUAGUUAAUCUUCAACCACUUCAAAGAACUGUAGAAUAUGUCAUUUAAAUAACUUAGGGGGUCUGUUGAUAUGAAACAC